UACGUAGGGGGCAAGCGUUGUCCGGAUUUACUGGGCGUAAAGAGCGCGUAGGCGGUCGUUCAAGUCGCGUGUGAAAGCCCCCGGCUCAACUGGGGAGGGUCACGCGAUACUGAUCGACUCGAAGGCAGGAGAGGGUAGUGGAAUUCCCGGUGUAGUGGUGAAAUGCGUAGAUAUCGAGAGGAACACCUGCGGCGAAGGCGGGUAGCUGGGCCGACACUGACGCUGAGGCGCGAAAGCCAGGGGAGCGAACGGG
RNAcentral lists this ribosomal RNA (253 nucleotides) under uncultured bacterium. Its description in RNAcentral is "partial 16S ribosomal RNA". It matches the Rfam family "Bacterial small subunit ribosomal RNA", at positions 524 to 776 of the family's 1533-position model. The record is from RNAcentral.